Molecule: long non-coding RNA, 2433 nt
Filed under: Homo sapiens (human)
Lineage: Eukaryota; Metazoa; Chordata; Mammalia; Primates; Hominidae
Description: HSALNT0249720
Source: RNAcentral
UAGUCACCAGCAAAGGACUAAGAUGUUUUCACUCCUUAGAUCUUCCCUUGUGUCUGUUUAAGAAGAGGAAUCCUCACUUAUUUGGCAUCCAAGAUACAUUGGUUGUUUGCUUAACCAUCGUUUUCGCAUGUGCCAUCUGUCAAAGUCUGGAAGAAACCUAAGAUGUGUUGCAUUAAAUUUGAAGAUUCCUCCUGUUCAGAAGCAAGAAACAAACAAAAUCAAUAAGUACUCAUUAAUUAAGAAAACAGAGCAUUAUUAUGAAAUCAUACACAUGGAAAACUUAUCAACAAUAAAAAUAACGACAAACACCAUUACAUUCUCCUUUAUAGGAGACAAACAGUAUAAACCCCAAGGAAGAGUGAUUUCUCUAUGAUCUAGUAAGUUCUAAAAAUUAAAGUCCAACUAACUUUAAGGUAGAGAGUGAAUGAGACAAUUAAAUUAUUCUACUGCUUUAGAGAUUCUUUUACCCACUAUCAUCCUUGUCCCAUUACAAAGAUUUUAGGCAAAUUUGUCACAUAGAGAAAGUGAAAUUUUGGUUAUUAGAUAAGAACAAAUUAUAAUGAUGGUCACUAGGCUUCUGUUCAUAGUGCUUCAACAACUGGAUGUUCGUAUUUAUUCAACAAAUAUAUUUAUUUAUAUAAAUAGGGAAAAAGGAAAAUUUCUUGCCCUCAUGGAGUUUGCAUUGUAAUGCAAGGAAAGAAACAACACACAUGCACACAUAUACACAUACAGAAGGGUACUUAAUAAUUAGUAAAAUGUGUGUAUAAAAUGUGUAUAAUAUAUAUUUAUAACUACAUGCUGCAGUAAUGUAGGAUCCCCACUGUUUUCUUCUUCUAAAUGUAAACAAGGGCAAAGGCAACAACACAUAAAAAGUUAGUUCUUGAUGACCUUUGUCUUAAGGUUUAUCUAUUGCAAAGUAUUUUUCUCAAACUAUUCUUGUAGAUAGGAAAACGCAGAGUUCACUUUUGUUUUUGGAUAUUAAGAAUAUGUACUGUAACUGUGUGCUCUGAUUUUCAAUAUUGGUUUGGUCUGCUGCCAUUCUAAAUGCAUGUUAUAACUGAGCCAUAAUACAUAUAAGCGGUUUUUUGGGUAAUUAUCAUACGUCUCAUCCCUUCAGUGCUAUUUAUAGUCUCUACACUAAAGACUACAUUACUUUAAUUACCCAAGAAGUGAAAUAAUCCCUUAAAAGGUCCAGCUCUGGAUGUCUGGAUGUCACAAUACCAUCAUGAACAUAUUUUGUAGAGAUAUAAGGCUAUAUACUUAAGCAGGUAUAAAAUAGUCUUAUGAAAACUAAGUGAUUAAUUCCAACUGAAAUAUUUGAUAUGUGUUAAUAUGUAUUUCUUGAUGAUGGAAAUACUUCUAUGUUUAUUUUUAAGAAAGAUACUUAAAUAUCAUUUUCUUCUAGGAAUAGGAACAUAACUGAAAAAAAAAAGAUUUUAAAUAAGAGAUAAGAAUGAAACAUUGAAAAAUCCAUCUGAAUAAAGCCUGAAAAAAAUCAUCCUACUUUUAAAGGAUUUCAUAAUUGGAUUCAGUCAAGUUAUAUAAGAAGUCCUAUGAGAAUAGUCAAACGUGGUAUAAAUCUUUAAUUCAGAAAUGAGGAUAUCAUAGAUAUACAGAAUACUUGCUCAAUUAAUGGGCUAGGAAUGAAUUUUCUUUUUAUUGGGAAAGAGAACCAUGUUUUAGUAUUUGUAAGAACUUAGGUCUUGAUUUGGAGAUAGCACACAACAGUAAUGACGGUGACUGAGCCUUGAUCCUUGAAGUAAAAGACAACACACAGGAAAAAUCCACCUGUAUUUUAUUUUGUGAUCAGCACUAAUAACCUGCAUGACUCAGUGUGCAGAUAGGAGCAUGGUAGAUGGAUUCAGCAUCCAUGAGUUCCGGCUUCAGACACCUGUCAGUAAUCAAACGUUAUCUCUUUCAUAUCCGAAAUGUUUGGGUCUUUAUAUAGAAACACACACUCCAUUAUAAAUAUAUAGAUAGACUAAUGGAAGAACAAUGAAUCUAAAUUUUGAAUUUGUAUGAAAAAUUUAACUAGAUGAAGCCUUGCUUUAAUAAAGCUAAUUACAAUUGAUGUGUAAUUUGCAUAAUAAAAUGCCAGUUUACAUUCUCUUAAUCUUAAAUUAGCAUUACAAUUACAUUCUGGAUAUUUAAGAGUGUUUCUAAAGUACUAAAAAAGAAUCCAUUUGCUUGAAUUGGCAGAGUUUUUUUUCAUAUUAUGUUUUUAGUAUUUGCUUGGGAAAUAAAAAUCUUUUCAUGGUGAAAAUCAACAAAAUGAUUGAUCCAAGGUCAAACCAAGCCCUGUAUAAAUUAUACAGAAAAAGAAGAAGCCCCUUUUGAAUUAAUGAAAUUUGAAAAAUAAGAUUUAUAAUUCUGUGAAUGUUUGUAUGAAGUCAGCAUAUAGUCAUAUAUUAAAAUAUAUCUUUCAUUAACUUU